RNAcentral lists this ribosomal RNA (509 nucleotides) under uncultured bacterium. Its description in RNAcentral is "partial 16S ribosomal RNA". It matches the Rfam family "Bacterial small subunit ribosomal RNA", at positions 30 to 523 of the family's 1533-position model. The record is from RNAcentral.
AUUGAACGCUGGCGGCAGGCCUAACACAUGCAAGUCGAGCGGCAGCGGGAAAGUAGCUUGCUACUUUUGCCGGCGAGCGGCGGACGGGUGAGUAAUGCCUGGGAAAUUGCCCAGUCGAGGGGGAUAACAGUUGGAAACGACUGCUAAUACCGCAUACGCCCUACGGGGGAACGCAGGGGACCUUCGGGCCUUGCGCGAUUGGAUAUGCCCAGGUGGGAUUAGCUAGUUGGUGAGGUAAUGGCUCACCAAGGCGACGAUCCCUAGCUGGUCUGAGAGGAUGAUCAGCUACACUGGAACUGAGACACGGUCCAGACUCCUACGGGAGGCAGCAGUGGGGAAUAUUGCACAAUGGGGGAAACCCUGAUGCAGCCAUGCCGCGUGUGUGAAGAAGGCCUUCGGGUUGUAAAGCACUUUCAGCGAGGAGGAAAGGUUGAUGCCUAAUACGUAUCAACUGUGACGUUACUCGCAGAAGAAGCACCGGCUAACUCCGUGCCAGCCGCCGGCCGUAA